GAUUGAAAUACUAAUCUGUGUUACAAACAGGUGCUGAAAAAUGUACAUUAUCAGAAAAUAAUCAAUAAAUGUGUUUUAAAGUUACACCGGAUCAAUUAAAUCCAAAACAUGCACUGCUUGUGAACUGUCAUCAAAAUGUCAAUUUCCUACAAUGACAAAAGAAAUUACAUUGUGUACAUUCCAUCUCUAGACAUGUUGUCUGUUCAAAGUCCC
This 213-nucleotide long non-coding RNA is filed under the name Mytilus galloprovincialis (Mediterranean mussel). The record is from RNAcentral. Lineage: Eukaryota; Metazoa; Mollusca; Bivalvia; Mytilida; Mytilidae.